This 2228-nucleotide long non-coding RNA is filed under the name Solanum lycopersicum (tomato). RNAcentral describes it as "long non-coding RNA (SLYC_LNC000304)". The record is from RNAcentral. Lineage: Eukaryota; Viridiplantae; Streptophyta; Magnoliopsida; Solanales; Solanaceae.
UGUGUUUUGUUUUUUUCUUGAAGAAAAAGAAUUGGGUUUUCUUCUCCUCUUUGGACUAGGAAGACAUCUCUAUAAAUAGGGAUUCUUCUAACCUAGAUUUGAUUGAGGAUUCUACAUACAAUACUUGCCCACCCAAGUAUUGAGAGAGUUCAAUUGUUGAUUGGGAUCACUGUAGAAGACUAUAGAGCUGGAGUUGGAUUUACUUCAAGAUAUCUGCACACGCUUCAAGAGGUAAUCCUGAGUUAAUUUUCAGCAUACUUUGUAUGUGAUGACUAUUUGUGGUUGUUGUUUAUAUUCAUGCAAGAUGUAUGAUUCUGGAAUGCUUCCGCUGUGUAUGCUAUUUUCUAACAGAUUUAGCUAUAUAAAUAGAUCACUCAUCUAUUUUUAAUUCGAUACGAGAUUAAUUAAACUCGUAAAGUGUAUAUAACUCUUAUCUAAUCACUUCCUCGGAAACACUACGUAGGAUCCACCAUAAUGGCAAAAUGUUAAGAAAUUCGCAAUUUCUUGGAGUUCAAAAAGAACUCACUUUUGUUAUGACUUUCAAAUGACUUAUUUUCAUUAAUAAGUAUAUACACUGUGAUAAAAAUAAUUUGUAGCGGCAAUAAAUAGACACAUGAAUAAAAAGUGUUAAUAUCUUUAUCGAUAUUAGUUAAGUGUCAUUUGAUCUAAUGUCGCUAAAGUCUUUAGGGGAUAUAAACAAAGAGUGCUAAUUGCCACUAAAAGUAUAUUUAACAACAAUUGCUAAUUAAUUGCUGCUAAAAAUCAAUUUUAAUAUAGUGAUAGAAAGUAAAAGUAGAUUUUCGCUUUCGAUGUUUUAACCAUUUUCUCUCUCGUAAUUUGUUCACUUAAGAUUUUUUUUCGGUAAAUUUUAUGCUUAGUCAACUAAUCAACCUUGCACUACUCAAGUUUAUGAACAAAAUAUAGCUUUUUAUUUGAAGUUAUUCUUUUCAACUCUUUAUUGGUUGAAAAAUUAAGGCAUAUCUAAUUAAUAGUUAAAACAAGAGAAAAUUGUAUAAAAUAAUAAAAUAUUAAUUUAAAUUAAAUGUGAUAAUCACGGUUUCAUUAAUUCUAAUUCAUAGCAAAUAUUUUUCAUACGCCUCCUCCCUAAAUUUCGCUUGACACUCUCUCUGAAUCUUGCUAACCACUCUCCCUCGUCUCUCACUUCAUACAAACACAAAUGUAUGUAUAAAUUGUGUUUGUGAGAACUGUAUAUACAAAUACAAUUUAAAGGGUUAUCUCUUCGUUCGAUAUACUUAUAAUUAUAUAAAUACAAAUUCCCCUCGCCCAGUUCUCUUUUGUCUUUCUCUGUUUCUUGCUUUUAUAGAAACACAAAUUAUAUAAAAUACAAUGUAUGGUUUGUGUUUGUAUAAAACGAGAGAAUGAUUUGAUAUACAAAUGCAAUUGUUUCAACUCGAUUCAAUUGUAUACGAAUUCAAAUUUUAUGCAAAUAUACAAACACGUAUAACAUAUACUUAUAGAAACACGAUUUUUUAUAGACACAAACACUUGAAUUAUACAAAUCGCCACGAUUUAUACAAAUCAGAUGCCUGCGAUUUUAUACAAUUCUGAUGCCCCAUAACAAACUAUGUUUGCUAUGGAGCGCAAAUAGUAAAAUUAUAACUAUAGAGCGCUAGUAUAAUUUUUAUGUUUGCUAAACCUAAAAUUUACUGAUAAAACAAUAAUAAAUGUUAUGCUAAGAAUUGCUGUACAAAAUAGUUUGUAAUUAUACACUAUUCUCAAUUUUAUCUAUUAGCAUUAUUGUGUAAUGUGUAUCAAAGUUUAAAUUCACAUAAACUCACACUGCACAACCUAGUGUCAUGAUGCACCAAUUCAUCAUGCCACUAGGCAUAAAAUUGAAGUCUAAAUCCGUGACAUUAGCCUCAAACCCACCCACACCAAUCUACUUGUCAUCUCUCGAUUCAUCAAAAUUUGCAGGUUCUUAAACACCUUGAAGAAAAACAAACCAAUGAAAUAAUUCAAGUGAUCCAUCAUUUUAACAUGGGCUUCUUACGUAAAAGUUACGUUCCAUCAGAUAGAAAAGAGUUCAACUAAAUGGCCACAUGCAUAUGCUAUACAUAUUAUAUAAAUAGUGUAUAAUCAUGUAUAUAUAAUGUAUAAUCAUGUAUUAAGAUGUAUAUAUAUUUAUGUAUAUUGUUAUACAAUAUUGAUAUAUUGCAGAAGUUCAUCUUCCUCAAUGAGGUGAAUUUUUUCUUUUACAAAUUCGACCA